AAAAAUCAUUUUUAGUUAAAUUAAACUUUUCUUCUUCCUAAUACUUAGUUAUGUUAUAAUCAUUACGGGCGAAAAAAGUUAGGGGGGGUGAACAAAAAUUUGCCCGACGUUGAUGGAAAUUGCUCAACAUUAUUAUCAUCGUUUUAUUGAUUGAUGGAUGAAUAGGUUAAGAUAAAUAGAAGGGACACAUCUCCUAUACAGACGCGCAGAAAUAAAGUCAAUCUUAGAACUACAGUGCAAACGACGAGAUUAGUUUAAAUACCAGAUCUCGUAAAAGUCAUUAAGACACAAUUCGGG
Molecule: non-coding RNA, 297 nt
Organism: Paramuricea clavata
Lineage: Eukaryota; Metazoa; Cnidaria; Anthozoa; Malacalcyonacea; Plexauridae
Source: the annotation of a GenBank genome assembly